This 83-nucleotide non-coding RNA is filed under the name uncultured Lawsonibacter sp. Its description in RNAcentral is "Cyclic di-GMP-I riboswitch". It matches the Rfam family "c-di-GMP-I riboswitch aptamer". Rfam says of the family: GEMM was predicted in a large-scale screen for bacterial structured RNA regulatory elements. Genes associated with GEMM are involved in a diverse array of functions, including chemotaxis regulation, signal transduction, secretion and chitin. The record is from RNAcentral. Lineage: Bacteria; Bacillati; Bacillota; Clostridia; Eubacteriales; Oscillospiraceae.
AUGUCAAGAGCAAACCGCCCGAAAGGGCGGGACGCAAAGCCAGGGGGCUACCGCGGAACUCCGCCACGCCAGCCCGGCCGCCG